UACGAAGGGGGCUAGCGUUGCUCGGAAUUACUGGGCGUAAAGGGCGCGUAGGCGGCACUGUUAGUCAGGCGUGAAAGUCCUGGGCUCAACCUGGGAACUGCGCUUGAUACGGCAGAGCUAGAGGAUGGAAGAGGGUCGCGGAAUUCCCAGUGUAGAGGUGAAAUUCGUAGAUAUUGGGAAGAACACCGGUGGCGAAGGCGGCGACCUGGUCCAUUACUGACGCUGAGGCACGAAAGCGUGGGGAGCAAACAGG
RNAcentral lists this ribosomal RNA (253 nucleotides) under uncultured bacterium. RNAcentral describes it as "partial 16S ribosomal RNA". It matches the Rfam family "Bacterial small subunit ribosomal RNA", at positions 524 to 776 of the family's 1533-position model. The record is from RNAcentral.